UCACUAAGAAAUUCAGAUCUCAUCAAAAGUCCAAGCAUAUAGAGCGAUAGUUUCAUAUUAUACACGAAUAUCUCGAGAAGAAGUUCGCUGAGGUGCAGAGAGUUGACUCCACAUAGAAUAUGGUAGACCCACUGAUCAAGCCUCUCAACCAGCAGAAGACUGAAACUCACUUUGAGAAGAUGGAUCUUAAGUAUAUGGCCAAUUGGCUUUAGAUCAAAUGGGAGUUUGUUAGAUGAGUGUCCUAAAAAUCAAUUAUUGGCUGAUAUAUUAUAUAAUUCGAGGACAUAACUUUAUACUCGUAAUAUAUUUAUUAUUAAUAAAGAGUAAUUUUAUUCCAAUCAUAUCUAUGUAUCCAUAAUUUAUCUUAGAAAUUAAUAAAGAAGAUUUUGUAUAUUCUCAAGGUGUUGAGAAUUUGAGACAUAUAUUAUUAGUAGUUAGUUUCUAAAUACUUUCGAUCGAAAGAUCGUCACGAAGGAUAGUGAUUAAUAUACUUUAGAUUGGUGCAUGAAUCACCUUCCUUUUGGAUAGAUAAGUCUCAAGUUUGUAGUAUAAGAAUAUUGAAAUAAGAGUGCAGGUGGUUGUUAGAGAACAACUUACAUUGAGCGUGACCAAUACGAAAAACUACUUGGAUGUCUACUCACUCAUUAGUAGUCUUUUCAAUACUACAGUGAUGUGAGUGAUCCUUUGAUCUGUGAUGCAUCGGCUAUUCACAAUGAGGCUACUGUAGUCUGACUGCACAUUCACUUGGUCCUUAAUCAUUCAGAUUCUUACUGUGUAUGUUGGCUACGGUGGAUUUAAAUUCACUACUUGAAGUAGGGUGCACCUAAUAAAAUCUAUCGACCUUGGUAGAAAAAGAUAAGUCCUAUGCGAUUUGCGAGAUUAAGUUCAGAAAAUCUUUGGCCAAAAUAAGUAUGAAUACUGAAAAAAAAAUUUCACAAGAUUUACAAAUGAACUCGAAUCGAGCCAAUUUGAUAUAUGACUGAAGUUGGGGUAUGACGAGUUCUCCAUGAUCUCCAUCAAGUCGGAAAUCAUGAUAGAAGAAUUAAAUCAUACAGCAACUAUAACAUCCGCAACCAAUAAAUAGUGAAUCAAAAAAACUAAUACUUGCACUUCGUACUUAAGCAUGUGUGGCACAGGAUUUCAUCUAUGGUUUACUUGAGCAUUUGAAUGUUUAAUUGGGCAGUAAUGGAGUAUAAAUUUAGUUAUUGGUUAAGAAAGAAAAUGAUUGGAAAAUUAGAUUGAUAAUAGUAAUAAAGAAGCUGAAUUUUUGAUGAUUUAUGAUCCUAAAAUGAGUUGAUAUUUUAAAGAGCAUCUUAAGAAUUAGAUAUGUGGUAAUUUUGUGAUUUAAAAUCAUGAUUUCAAUAAUUUAUGCCACUUAGCCGGCUCAGUUGGAGGAUGAGCCAACUAAAUCUCAAAAAGUGUGCCAGACAAAAAGUGAGAGUUUCAAAAAAUUCUGAUGGCAUGCAGUUAAGCCAACCCAAUUUUAUACUAAGUCGACUAAAUUCUAGACUGAGUCAGCUUAGUCUCAGAUGAGUCAGCUAACCUACAAAAAAUUUUGAAAAAUGAGAUUUAGCCGAGGUGUUUCAAGUUGAAAUUUAAAAAUAACUUGUAAGG
RNAcentral lists this long non-coding RNA (1614 nucleotides) under Elaeis guineensis (African oil palm). Its description in RNAcentral is "long non-coding RNA (EGUI_LNC062477)". The record is from RNAcentral. Lineage: Eukaryota; Viridiplantae; Streptophyta; Magnoliopsida; Arecales; Arecaceae.